AGGCAGCCUGGGACCGGCCCACGGAGUUGCAGCCGCCCAUCGCUCCCUCCUUGCGGACAUCAUGCUCCAGUUCCUGAUACCAAACCUGGCUAAAAAACUUGAAGACAUUAAAAAGGACCUGGAUGCCAAGAAGAAACCCCCUAGUUCAUGAGGCCGACUCCAGCCCUGCCUUCUGGAUUCUACUAUUGUCGAGGGCCUUCUUUACUCUGAACCAAAAGCUUUUGUUUUAAUUUCCAGCCUCAGCAGUUUUCUUCAUUGUGUUGCCUUAGAGCACAAAUGGGGCCACAAGUUAAGAACUACCCUUAAUUUUCCAACAGCAUCACUUCUUCCCUUCCUCCUUCCAGCCACUUGGGAGGCCCUGAAACUGGAAUUAUGGUGCUAGAUUAGUAAACAUGACCUUUAAUUAGUAGUCUCUCCCUUUUUCUUUGGAAUUUCUAUUACCUUUUUUCAAAAGAAAAAUUGAUAAAUUUUGUAUAGCAGAUGAGAUAUAAAUAAUGCUGAUUUCACAUUCUAGCAAUUAUAUAAUGGGUAUUUAAACAUUCGGUACUUAAUUAUGUUAUUUCAAAAUAGUAGUUAAAAUCAAGAAGCCAGUUCCUGGUGAAUUAUCCAUUGUUGUCAGGAAGCUGCAUAGUUGCUAUUGUAACCACUAUAUCAAUUUGCUAUUCAUUAACCAAGAAACAGUGUUCUGAGAACCCUGAGAACUUACAAAUAUUUAAAAUAAUGGCCGUUGUCCUCAAUAGUAUUCCUAGUCUAAUAUUCAUGUUGUUUUUUAAUGAUGUGUUUGAUCUGGUUCUUUUCCCUCGUAAGAAUCAUACUUUAUGGGAUAACAGGUGCAUGUGACAUUACCUGGUGGAUAAAUGAGAAGUUGAUUAUAAGGGAAGUUUUAUGCCUUUUUAUAUUUAAAAAAUAUGUUUACAUUAUAACUUUAUAGUGAGCCCCUGAGUGAGUGGGUUAAGGAUCUGGCAUUGCUCAGUCUCAUAGGAAGCCUUUUUGUGUUUUUUUCCUGCAAUCAGAAAUUGCUCUCUUAGUUUGUCAAAUGUAUAAUCAGUCCACAUUUUUUUAAGUGAAAAAAAUUUAAAUAGGUAACUUCCCCUUGGGUCAGUACAAAAGUGAUUUAGAAUUAAGGACUUCUCCCACCCAUGUCCUGCAGCUCCUAAUUCCUCUUCCUGGAGUCAGGCACUGUUGCCAGUUUUUUUGAAAAAGAUUCUGUCCCUAAACAAACAUGUUCAUGAGGGUUAUUAUACAAAUGAUAACAAGCUAUAUACAGAAUUUUCCUCAGUGGAGAUCAUUCCAUAUCCGUAUGUAAGGAACAAAAAACCUCUUCCCCUUUUGUGACUGCAUAAGGUUCUGUUGAAUGAAUAUGCUGCAGUUGAUUUAGUCAGCUCCUGGUGAACAUUUAGGUUGUUUCCUGUCUUUUGUUAUUAUGGUGAUAACCUUAAACCUAAUAUUGUUAUGCAUAUCUAUGCCAGGGAUAGCGCCAAGCUAAAGCCCUAGAAGUGUAGUUUACCCUGUAGUUUCUAGGGCUUUACCAAGCUAAAGCCCUCGAAGUAUAGUUUGUUGGGUAUCAGCUUCACUGAUAAUGCCAUUCCUGGAAACAUUUUAGCAGAAUUAGUAAACUGGAAGGAUGAUUUUAGAGACACCUUUUUUUCAGACACUGAUGGCACUGACAGUAAAUGUGAUUAUACAGUGAGGUGAUUCUACUUUUCUUUGAAAACGUGGAUCUUUCAAACAUGGAGAUACAUUUUGUCCCUGUCAGGUUGUCCUGGUUCGUGAGACAAAUUAGGACCUUAUUAUAGUUUGUCUUCUCCUCAGACAGAGUGUGAUCAGGGGCAAGUGGCUUAUUUCUCCAAAACUGUUGUUUUCUCUUUAAGAUGUGGAUGCAGUACCUACCUCAUAGGGCUUCCAUGAGAAACUGUUGAGAUAACAUACGUGGUGUGUAGCACAGUGCUUUGCAGAUUGUCCAAUAAAUAGUAGAUAUUAGUUGGAACGUGCUGCCUUUGGUCAGAAUACUUUUUUCUGCACUCACUUCUGGAACCAGUUUAUGAACCAUGCAAAAUGUGUCAUUCUCUUUGUAAAAUGAAAAUCUGUAGUAUCCACUGUGAUCAUACCACCUGGCUUACCAGGUUUGAUCUUAAAUGACUGAAUUGUUAGCAGAAUGAACUACAGCCUUGAAGGAUAAUGGUUUACCAUCUUGAUAGGUAUUCAAACUUUCACAAGCUUAGAAAGCUGUUUUCAAAGAGGGAUUCAUUGUUAUCAGCCAUGGAGCCUUGAUGCUUGUGUGUAUGGUCUCCCAGGUGGCUUCUUUGGGGAUGUGAGUCACUUAGAUGUUGCAUGAUGAGGUCUCUAUAAUUGUACUUGUAAAUGAGGCACGAUUGGACUUGGAGCUUCCCCUGGGAGUGACACUUAACCUUGCUGACGGGAUCAUCUCCACCAGUGGGAGCCACCCAGCUAAUCACCUUAAACGUGUGAACAGCAACACAAAGAGUGCAGGCCAACUUCAUGGUCACCAUUCAGAUUCCCUCUCCCAUUUCAGGCUCUUGUAGGAGUGAAAGGGAUCUGGAGUUCUCAGGCAGGAUUAUCUUCACGGAGACAUAUUGUUGGGGGACCUAGAACCAUUAUGGGUUUUAGGCGGUGUGGUGGUUGUGAUCGUGGUACUCAAAGUUAACAUUCUCUGGGUGUUUUGUAGAGGUCCCUGCAGAGGGGUGGGAAGAACUACUGCAAGACAUGCCUUUUUUUUUUUCCUUUAAAAAAAUCUUGAGGAGUUCCUGUUGUGGCACAGUGGAAAUGAAUGCGACUAGUAUCCAUGAGGAUGUGGGUUUGAUCCUUGGCCUCCCUCAGUGGGUUAAGGAUCUGACAUUGCUGUGGGCUGUGGUGUGGGUUGCAGAUGUGGCUCGGACCCACUGUUGCUAUGGCUGUGGCAUAGGCCAGCAGCUGCAGCUCCUAGUGGACCCCCAGCCUGGGAACUUCCAUAUGCUG
This 2976-nucleotide long non-coding RNA is filed under the name Sus scrofa (pig). Its description in RNAcentral is "lncRNA (ENSSSCG00035010300.1)". Lineage: Eukaryota; Metazoa; Chordata; Mammalia; Artiodactyla; Suidae. The record is from RNAcentral.